AGGAACUAAUACGGAUCCACCUGUUCUUUGCGAAUUUCUCAAUCGCAGCAGUUUUGAACCAGGGUUCAUAUUUGGCUCAGGUUCCGCAUCUUACCAGUAUGAAGGUGCAGUAAAAGAAGAUGGAAGAGGACCAAGCAUAUGGGAUACCUACACCCACAAACAUCCAG
This is a long non-coding RNA of Pyrus x bretschneideri (Chinese white pear), 167 nucleotides long. RefSeq lists it as uncharacterized. The transcript has 2 exons. Lineage: Eukaryota; Viridiplantae; Streptophyta; Magnoliopsida; Rosales; Rosaceae. The record is from RefSeq and is a predicted model, not a curated record.